AGAGUUUGAUCCUGGCUCAGAACGUACGCUGGCGGCACGCCUAACACAUGCAAGUCGAACGAAGUAGCAAUACUUAGUGGCAGACGGGUGAGUAACAUGUGGGUAUCUACCCUUUGGCCUGGAAUAACACGAGGAAACUUGUGCUAAUACCGGAUAAGUCUUUACGGAGAAAGCUUUAUGCACCAUUGGAUGAGCCCGCACUUGAUUAGUUUGUUGGUAGGGUAAUGGCCUACCAAGACUAUGAUCAAUAGCUGAUUUGAGAGGAUGAUCAGCCACACUGGGACUGAGACACGGCCCAGACUCCUACGGGAGGCAGCAGUAGGGAAUCUUAGACAAUGGGGGAAACCCUGAUCUAGCCAUGCCGCGUGUGUGAUGAAGGCCUUAGGGUCGUAAAGCACUUUCGCCAGAGAUGAUAAUGACAGUAUCUGGUAGAGAAACCCCGGCUAACUCCGUGCCAGCAGCCGCGGUAAUACGGAGGGGGUUAGCGUUGUUCGGAAUUACUGGGCGUAAAGCGUACGUAGGCGGAUUAGUAAGUUAGAGGUGAAAUCCCAGGGCUCAACCCUGGAACUGCCUUUAAUACUGCUAGUCUUGAGUUCGAGAGAGGUAAGUGGAAUUCCGAGUGUAGAGGUGAAAUUCGUAGAUAUUCGGAGGAACACCAGUGGCGAAGGCGGCUUACUGGCUCGAUACUGACGCUGAGGUACGAAAGUGUGGGGAGCAAACAGGAUUAGAUACCCUGGUAGUCCACACCGUAAACGAUGAAUGCCAGACGUCAGCAAGUAUACU
This 783-nucleotide ribosomal RNA is filed under the name uncultured bacterium. RNAcentral's name for it is "bacterial SSU rRNA". It matches the Rfam family "Bacterial small subunit ribosomal RNA", at positions 8 to 837 of the family's 1533-position model. The record is from RNAcentral.